GCGGGGGUCGCCCAGCUUGGCCAAAGGCGCGAGGCUCAGGACCUCGUCCCGUUGGGGUUCGUGGGUUCAAAUCCCACCCCCCGCA
Molecule: transfer RNA, 85 nt
Filed under: Nitrososphaerota archaeon
Lineage: Archaea; Thermoproteati; Nitrososphaerota
Description: tRNA-Leu
Rfam family: tRNA
About the family: Transfer RNA (tRNA) molecules are approximately 80 nucleotides in length. Their secondary structure includes four short double-helical elements and three loops (D, anti-codon, and T loops). Further hydrogen bonds mediate the characteristic L-shaped molecular structure. tRNAs have two regions of fundamental functional importance: the anti-codon, which is responsible for specific mRNA codon recognition, and the 3' end, to which the tRNAs corresponding amino acid is attached (by aminoacyl-tRNA synthetases). tRNAs cope with the degeneracy of the genetic code in two manners: having more than one tRNA (with a specific anti-codon) for a particular amino acid; and 'wobble' base-pairing, i.e. permitting non-standard base-pairing at the 3rd anti-codon position.
Source: RNAcentral